Molecule: non-coding RNA, 377 nt
Organism: Paramuricea clavata
Lineage: Eukaryota; Metazoa; Cnidaria; Anthozoa; Malacalcyonacea; Plexauridae
Source: the annotation of a GenBank genome assembly
CCUGGUAAUAUUUCUCAUUAAUCUCCUUAUUUCUCAUUUCGUGGAGCAUUUUUAUUGACAAUCACGCCUCACGGCUGUAGAACAAAUCACAUUUCACAACAUUAAAAUCAAUCAUUUCACAUUUCACACGAAUACAUAUUGACCAUUCACGGCUCACGAAAAUACGCUUUCCCACCCUCGUAUGAGAACUAGGGUCUUCUUCAAGCACUUCUGCAGUAACUUCCAAUUCCAUCUCUUCAUUGGUUCAUCAGGAAAAGAAUAUCUAAGACAGUUUAUCGAUGAAAGUAAUUGUGUAAAAAUAUCAACUGUAAUCCAGUGUAAUCCGGUUUUAGCAGAACUUCUGUAUUUAUAUAAUAUUUAUUAGAACAUAAAAUGAG